AUGGGGAGGGCGCCGUGCUGCGACAAGGCGACGGUCAAGAAGGGGCCUUGGUCGCCGGAGGAGGACGCCAAGCUCAAGGCCUACAUCGACGAGAACGGCACCGGCGGCAACUGGAUCGCCCUGCCGCAGAAGAUCGGGCUGAAGAGGUGCGGCAAAAGUUGCAGGCUGAGAUGGCUCAACUAUCUGAGGCCAAACAUCAAGCACGGUGACUUCACAGAGGAAGAGGAGCACAUCAUUUGCAGCCUCUACAUUAGUAUCGGCAGCAGGUGGUCGAUCAUCGCGGCGCAGCUGCCGGGGAGAACGGACAACGACAUCAAGAACUACUGGAACACCAAGCUCAAGAAGAAGCUCCUCGGCAAGCGCGCGCCGUCCCGCCGCCUGCAGCGCGCCAGCCAAGACGCGCCGAUGCCCUACUCCUACCUGGCGGCGGGCGGCGGCGGCGCCAGCAGCAGCGGGAACGCUAACGGCACCACCGCGGCACUCAGCUCGUCAGCGCUGGAGCGGAUCCAGCUCCACAUGCGCCUGCAGGGACUCUACAGCGCGUUCGGCUGCGGCGCCAGCAACGCGCCGCCGCAGUGGCCGAAGCUCGAGCCACCGACGGACGCCGUUGCCAUGACGACCGUCAGUCACGGUCACUCCCUUGCCGCCGCGGACGUCGUGGAAGCCGAGCAACAGCUAAACCCUUCCGCUGGCGCGAGCUACGACAUGCCGGUGCCGGGAGGUUUCGAGGAGCGAUCCGCCUCCAAGCUAGGGUUUGGCUCUGCUGCCGGCGAGGCCGCUGGAGUGGCCAGUACCGUCGAGAUGAGCUCGGGGUCAAUGGUAGGCGGUGGCUUCGGCUACGGCCACGUCGACGAGCUGUACGACUUCCUCUACAGCAAGCAGCUGGCCGCGGCCGGAGCCUUUCAAGGCGGAGUUCCUCCGCUGCCGGAGCUGCAGUGCCCGGAUGGCGGCGCCGUCGUCGGUGCCGACGAGAAGUUCUCCACGUGGAUGGCGUCCUGCGAUCACUAUGUUCCUACGACCGGCGGCCAGCAGCUCCAGCUGCAAGCAGGCGGAAACUCCAUGAAUCUGCAGGAUUUCGUUUUAGGGUAUGAUCAAUAA
RNAcentral lists this ribosomal RNA (1098 nucleotides) under Triticum aestivum (bread wheat). RNAcentral's name for it is "partial small subunit ribosomal RNA". The record is from RNAcentral. Lineage: Eukaryota; Viridiplantae; Streptophyta; Magnoliopsida; Poales; Poaceae.